RNAcentral lists this ribosomal RNA (441 nucleotides) under uncultured bacterium. RNAcentral describes it as "partial 16S ribosomal RNA". It matches the Rfam family "Bacterial small subunit ribosomal RNA", at positions 338 to 795 of the family's 1533-position model. The record is from RNAcentral.
CCUACGGGAGGCAGCAGUGGGGGAUAUUGCACAAUGGGGGGAACCCUGAUGCAGCGACGCCGCGUGGGUGAAGGAGUGCUUCGGCAUGUAAAGCCCUAUCGGCAGGGAAGAAGCAAGACGGUACCUGACUAAGAAGCCCCGGCUAACUACGUGCCAGCAGCAGCGGUAAUACGUAGGGGGCGAGCGUUAUCCGGAUUUACUGGGUGUAAAGGGAGCGUAGACGGCCAUGCAAGCCAGGGGUGAAAGCCCGGGGCCCAACCCCGGGACUGCCCUUGGAACUGUGCGGCUAGAGUGCGUGAGGGGCAGGCGGAAUUCCUGGUGUAGCGGUGAAAUGCGUAGAUAUCAGGAGGAACACCGGCGGCGAAGGCGGCCUGCUGGACCGCGACUGACGUUGAGGCUCGAAAGCGUGGGGAGCGAACAGGAUUAGAUACCCGAGUAGUC